Molecule: ribosomal RNA, 403 nt
Filed under: bacterium Ellin5109
Lineage: Bacteria; Bacillati; Actinomycetota; Actinomycetes; Mycobacteriales; Nocardiaceae
Description: bacterial SSU rRNA
Rfam family: Bacterial small subunit ribosomal RNA
Source: RNAcentral
UGCAAGUCGAGCGGUAAGGCCCUUCGGGGUACACGAGCGGCGAACGGGGUGAGUAACACGUGGGUGAUCUGCCUUGCACUCUGGAAUAAGCCUGGGAAACUGGGUCUAAUACCGGAUAUGACCUGCCUCUGCAUGGGGGUUGGUGGAAAGAUUUAUCGGUGCGAGAUGGGCCCGCGGCCUAUCAGCUUGUUGGUGGGGUAAUGGCCUACCAAGGCGACGACGGGUAGCCGGCCUGAGAGGGCGACCGGCCACACUGGGACUGAGACACGGCCCAGACUCCUACGGGAGGCAGCAGUGGGGAAUAUUGCACAAUGGGCGGAAGCCUGAUGCAGCGACGCCGCGUGAGGGAUGACGGCCUUCGGGUUGUAAACCUCUUUCGACAGGGACGAAGCGCAAGUGACGG